GACGAACGCUGGCGGCGUGCUUAACACAUGCAAGUCGAACGAUGAAGCCGGAGCUUGCUCUGGUGAAUUAGUGGCGAACGGGUGAGUAACACGUGAGUAACCUGCCCUUGACUCUGGAAUAACUGCGGGAAACUGUAGCUAAUACCGGAUACGACCCUCGGAGGCAUCUCCUGGGGGUGGAAAGAAUUUCGGUCAAGGAUGGACUCGCGGCCUAUCAGCUAGUUGGUGAGGUAAAGGCUCACCAAGGCGACGACGGGUAGCCGGCCUGAGAGGGUGACCGGCCACACUGGGACUGAGACACGGCCCAGACUCCUACGGGAGGCAGCAGUGGGGAAUAUUGCACAAUGGGCGCAAGCCUGGUGCAGCAACGCCGCGUGAGGGAUGACGGCCUUCGGGUUGUAAACCUCUUUCAGCAGGGAAGAAGCGAAAGUGACGGUACCUGCAGAAAAAGCACCGGCUAACUACGUGCCAGCCGCCGCCGUAA
This 484-nucleotide ribosomal RNA is filed under the name uncultured bacterium. RNAcentral describes it as "partial 16S ribosomal RNA". It matches the Rfam family "Bacterial small subunit ribosomal RNA", at positions 28 to 523 of the family's 1533-position model. The record is from RNAcentral.